AUUGAACGCUGGCGGCAGGCUUAACACAUGCAAGUCGAGCGGGGUGAUGUAGCUUGCUACAUUACCUAGCGGCGGACGGGUGAGUAAUGCUUAGGAAUCUGCCUAUUAGUGGGGGACAACAUUCCGAAAGGAAUGCUAAUACCGCAUACGCCCUACGGGGGAAAGCAGGGGAUCUUCGGACCUUGCGCUAAUAGAUGAGCCUAAGUCAGAUUAGCUAGUUGGUGGGGUAAGGGCCUACCAAGGCGACGAUCUGUAGCGGGUCUGAGAGGAUGAUCCGCCACACUGGGACUGAGACACGGCCCAGACUCCUACGGGAGGCAGCAGUGGGGAAUAUUGGACAAUGGGCGAAAGCCUGAUCCAGCCAUGCCGCGUGUGUGAAGAAGGCCUUUUGGUUGUAAAGCACUUUAAGCGAGGAGGAGGCUACUUGGAUUAAUACUCUAGGAUAGUGGACGUUACUCGCAGAAUAAGCACCGGCUAACUCUGUGCCAGCAGCCGCGGUAAUACAGAGGGUGCGAGCGUUAAUCGGAUUUACUGGGCGUAAAGCGUGCGUAGGCGGCUUUUUAAGUCGGAUGUGAAAUCCCUGAGCUUAACUUAGGAAUUGCAUUCGAUACUGGGAAGCUAGAGUAUGGGAGAGGAUGGUAGAAUUCCAGGUGUAGCGGUGAAAUGCGUAGAGAUCUGGAGGAAUACCGAUGGCGAAGGCAGCCAUCUGGCCUAAUACUGACGCUGAGGUACGAAAGCAUGGGGAGCAAACAGGAUUAGAUACCCUGGUAGUCCAUGCCGUAAACGAUGUCUACUAGCCGUUGGGGCCUUUGAGGCUUUAGUGGCGCAGCUAACGCGAUAAGUAGACCGCCUGGGGAGUACGGUCGCAAGACUAAAACUCAAAUGAAUUGACGGGGGCCCGCACAAGCGGUGGAGCAUGUGGUUUAAUUCGAUGCAACGCGAAGAACCUUACCUGGUCUUGACAUAGUAAGAACUUUCCAGAGAUGGAUUGUGC
This 994-nucleotide ribosomal RNA is filed under the name uncultured bacterium. Its description in RNAcentral is "bacterial SSU rRNA". It matches the Rfam family "Bacterial small subunit ribosomal RNA", at positions 28 to 1016 of the family's 1533-position model. The record is from RNAcentral.